Molecule: ribosomal RNA, 869 nt
Filed under: Crocicreas gramineum
Lineage: Eukaryota; Fungi; Ascomycota; Leotiomycetes; Helotiales
Description: partial large subunit ribosomal RNA
Rfam family: Eukaryotic large subunit ribosomal RNA
Source: RNAcentral
ACAGGGAUUACCUCAGUAACGGCGAGUGAAGCGGUAACAGCUCAAAUUUGAAAUCUGGCCCCCUCGGGGUCCGAGUUGUAAUUUGUAGAAGAUGCUUCGGGUGAGGCGCCGGUCUAAGUUCCUUGGAACAGGACGUCAUAGAGGGUGAGAAUCCCGUACGUGACUGGCCGCCUUCGCCCGUGUGAAGCUCUUUCGACGAGUCGAGUUGUUUGGGAAUGCAGCUCAAAAUGGGUGGUACAUUUCAUCUAAAGCUAAAUAUUGGCCAGAGACCGAUAGCGCACAAGUAGAGUGAUCGAAAGAUGAAAAGCACUUUGGAAAGAGAGUUAAACAGUACGUGAAAUUGUUGAAAGGGAAGCGCUUGCAACCAGACUUGCGGGCGGCCGAUCAUCCGGGGUUCUCCCCGGUGCACUCGGCCGCCCUCAGGCCAGCAUCGGUUCUGGUGGUGGGAUAAAGGCCCUAGGAACGUGACUCCCCCCGGGGAGUGUUAUAGCCUAGGGCGCAAUGCCGCCUGCCGGGACCGAGGACCGCGCUUCGGCUAGGAUGCUGGCGUAAUGGUUGUAAGCGACCCGUCUUGAAACACGGACCAAGGAGUCUAACAUCUAUGCGAGUGUUUGGGUGUCAAACCCAUACGCGGAAUGAAAGUGAACGGAGGUGAGAACCCGUUAGGGUGCAUCAUCGACCGGUCCUGAUGUCUUCGGAUGGAUCUGAGUAAGAGCAUAGCUGUUGGGACCCGAAAGAUGGUGAACUAUGCCUGAAUAGGGUGAAGCCAGAGGAAACUCUGGUGGAGGCUCGCAGCGGUUCUGACGUGCAAAUCGAUCGUCAAAUUUGGGUAUAGGGGCGAAAGACUAAUCGAACCAUCUAGUAGCUGG